This is a long non-coding RNA of Peromyscus maniculatus bairdii (prairie deer mouse), 1947 nucleotides long. RefSeq lists it as uncharacterized. The record is from RefSeq and is a predicted model, not a curated record. Lineage: Eukaryota; Metazoa; Chordata; Mammalia; Rodentia; Cricetidae.
GUGCCAGGAGGGCAGGAGCCCCCCCCCCCCCCCGCCCCGCCCUGGCUCCCAUCACGUUUGGAAAGCAGAGGGGCUGGGGCUAAAGAUGGACCCCAAGACUGGCACUCCGACCACUGAAUGUGUGGCCUGGAGGCAAGCCAAGACACCUUCUAUGGCUGGAAUAUCUGCUGCUGUUAUCCUCAGGGAUCAGUCUUAGCUCUGCAUUCGUUGCCAUGGAGACCAUCUAAGUCUUCUGUUUUUCCCUUCGUGAUGAUCAAGAAAACCUACACACACACCUAUUCAGAAAAUAUUCUAAUACGUGGGCUCACACCCAAAUAAACGACGACGAUGUCCUCUGCAGGAAACAAAAGCAACAGUGUCUGGGGAAAGAAGAGGGAAGCCAGUCUGCUCCAACAACGGGAGAGAGUGUGAAGAAAAUACCAUGACCAGGAACAACUUGCAGAAGGAAGAGGUUAUUUUGGCUUACAGCUCCAGAGAGGUACGAGUCCACCACGAGAGGGAAGCAUCACGCAGCAGACACAGCGGCAAGAACAGGGAGUAACAUCACGCCUUGAACAAGCAUGGAGUAGAGACAGCGAACUGGAAGUGGGGAGGGACUAGAAACACCCAAAGCCCACCCCAAUGACCUACUUCCUGUAGCAAGGCUCCACCCCCCCAAGGUUCCACAUCCUCCCUAAACAGUGCCAACAGCUGAGGACAAAGCCUGUGAAUACCCAAGCUGAUGAAGGACAUUGUAUUGUCAUUCAAACCACCACAGCCAAUAAGAAGAUCUCCUUCCCCACGGAUGCUACAUUCUACUGAGAGGAGACAGAAAAUUAACCAGACAUGCGUCAACAAACAGAAAGCUACUGACUUGUGGCAAACGCUCUGUAGAAAAUGAGGGCGUAUCAUCCUUAGAGGACCCAUUGAGGAGAAAAGCAGCUCGGUGAAGACUGGGGGAAGAUAUUCCUGGGACCGGGAAGAGUAGAGAAAGGAGGGGCCUUAAUGCUUACACAGAAAGAAGAUGGGUGUGUCUAACCUGUGACUCAGGGGCCAUCUGUAUCUCAGGAUAGCCAUAAUGUGGCCCAGUGCAUUUGUGGAUGACAACAUCUGGUCACAAAAGGCUGAGUCCAGAGCCUGGUGGGGAUGAAGAGAGAGCAAAAAAGCCGCAGUUGAAGAGGACCACAGCCUAUGAGAGAAUCGCGGUGGUGAUAGCAUCCAGAGCCGUUGUACUAGUUCCGAAUCCCUGGCGUAAGCUGCUCAAGAAGACCCAGGGUUCAGAGUGCGCCGUGCAAGGUCGCUUGCCUCUGUGUUCCUGUAGUGGGGUACAGCAACGUCACGGGGUCUUCUGAAGACAGGAAGUGUAACGGGCAAGCAGGACGACAGUGGCUGAGACCCAGGACGGGUGUAACCUUCAAAAACACAUACCCCAGGGAUGAACUCCCUCUAACAAGCUCCGUGUCUACCAUCGCCCCAAAUCAUGGCACCAUCUUGAGACCAGGCCUGAGCCUGGGAAACCAUUAGCCACUCUCUAGACACUGUCGGCUCCACCCCUGACCCUGUCUCAGCCUCAGAGGCUCUCACCUCCAGCUGCUGCCUUCCCAUCUCCACUCACUUUAACAAGCGUGGGAAGCUCGGCUGAACUUUCGAACUUCCGGCCUCCCUCCCUCUUUCCAUCUCCGAGGAUGGCAACUCCUCUCCUGCAGAUGCUCAGUCAUCCUUGACUCUCGAUUCUCUCCCACUCCACAUACGAACCUAUCAACCAGUUCUCUCUACUUCCUAAAAUAGACCCACAAGGCACCCCCACUUCUCCACAGCUCCGAUGUCACCAGCCCACGCCGCCACCGCUUCUCCCCUGAAUUUGGAGGAACCUUCUAAUAGGCCUUUUAAAAAUCCCUCUCACUUUUUACAUUACAUUUUACUUUUUACAAAUUUUUAAUUGGCCAGGUGGCGGUGGCACACGCCUUU